RNAcentral lists this ribosomal RNA (208 nucleotides) under uncultured bacterium. RNAcentral's name for it is "partial 16S ribosomal RNA". It matches the Rfam family "Bacterial small subunit ribosomal RNA", at positions 568 to 775 of the family's 1533-position model. The record is from RNAcentral.
CUCGUAGGUGGCCAACUAAGUCGGACGUGAAAUCCCUCGGCUUAACCGGGGAACCGCGUCCGAUACUGGUUGGCUUGAGUUUGGGAGAGGGAUGCGGAAUUCCAGGUGUAGCGGUGAAAUGCGUAGAUAUCUGGAGGAACACCGGUGGCGAAGGCGGCAUCCUGGACCAAUACUGACGCUGAGGAGCGAAAGCCAGGGGAGGCAAACG